Carassius auratus (goldfish) is the source of this 1867-nucleotide long non-coding RNA. Lineage: Eukaryota; Metazoa; Chordata; Actinopteri; Cypriniformes; Cyprinidae. The record is from Ensembl.
CCCGUGUGCUGCGCUAAUCACUCCGCCUAAGUAACUUUAGCUGUGCUCCUUUGCCUAGUGAGAAUAUAGUUCCCAGUAUUUACACGAUUAAAAAUGGUCUCUGUCUCAUAUAGCCUUGUUAUUUGUACACACUGUGACUAUACAGAUCAGAACAUGUAAAUAGGAAAAUGUUUGCAUUAUUUUGUCACUUAUUGGAAUUACUAUGUGUGACGUUCAGGUCCAGUUAACGGUGAUUAACUGGCUGAGAUUCGGGCCAGUUAUGGCCCAUGUGUGGCCCAUGUGUUUAAUCCAGUUCUGGGCCACUUUAGGGCCGUCAUUCUUUGCGGCACUUAGGCAGAGGAAAAAAAGUGAUUGUUUGGCCCGGAUCUGGGCCAGAGGACAUUUGCUAUGUGGAUUUUUGGCCCAGCCAUCACCCAAAUUUGAACUUACUCAGUAAUAUAUUGGAUCACUGUUACACCACAAUAAAGGAUGCAUAUCACUCUGUUCCACGAGCAGCUUUUGGACGUUCUGAUCACUCUCUGGUUCAUCUUAUACCGUCCUACAGGCAGAAACUAAAAUCAGCUAAUCCUGUAGUAAGGACAGUAAAAAGAUGGACUAAUGAAACAGAGCAGGAUUUACAAUCUUGUUUUGACCUCACUGAGUGUUUUUGAAGCUGCUGCCACCGAUCUGGAUGAACUCACAGAGACCGUAACAUCAUAUAUCAGUUUCUGUGAGGAAAUGUGUAUUCCUACAAAGACUCAACUAAUUUACAAUAAUGACAAACCGUGGUUCACUGCAAAACUAAGACAGCUCCAUCAGUCCAAAGAAGAUGCUUACGUGAAGGGGGACAAUGUCUUGUAUAAACAGGCUAAAUACACACUGGAAAAAGAGAUCAAAGUGGCAAAGAGGAAUUAUUCUGAAAAAAUAAGGACUCAGUUCACUUCCAAUGACUCCGCAUCAGUGUGGAAAAGUCUAAAGAAGAUCACCAAUUACAAGACACCACCCCCCAGCACUGUGGAGAAUCAACAACUGGCAGACGAUCUGAACGAGAUUUACUGCAGGUUUGAAAGAACACCCAUCACCUGCCCUGAAUACCUCCCCACACAACCAUUCACACAAUUCACAAUUCCUGCAACCAGCCCUGAAUGCCUCUCCAAACAACUGUUCACACCAUUAACAGCUCCUACAACCCAUCCUGAACACCUCUCCUAUCAAGCACUCUCACCAUUCACACCCCCUGCAUCCCCCCUCUCCCCCACACCUGCAAUUCAGAUCAGUGAGGAUGCAGUGCGCCAGUUCUUCCGGAAGCAGAAAAAGAAAAAAGCACCAGGCCCAGAUUGUGUUACACCAGCCUGUCUGAAAUCCUGUGCUUACCAGCUGGCCCCCAUCUUCACACAGAUCUUCAACAGAUUGCUGGAGCUGUGCGAAGUCCCGUCAUGCUUCAAACGCUCUACCAUCAUCCCCAUCCCUAAGAAAACCAAAAUUACAGGACUAAGUGGUUACAGGCCUGUGGCUCUAACGUCUGUAGUCAUGAAGUCAUUUGAAAAACUGGUGCUGGCCAACCUGAAGGACAUCACUGGGCCCUUGCUGGAUCCUCUUCAGUUUGCCUACAGAGCAAACAGGUCUGUGGACGAUGCAGUAAACAUUGGACUGCAUUAUGUUCUGCAACACCUAGACAGACCGGGGACUUAUGUGAGGAUCCUGUUUGUUGACUUCAGCUCGGCCUUCAACACGAUCAUCCCAAACCUUAUCCUGCCCAAACUAAAUCAGCUCUCCGUGCCCACCUCUCUCUGUCAGUGGAUCAACAGCUUCCUGGCAGACAGGCAGCAGCUAGUGAGGUUGGGAAAAUACACAUCCAGCACCCAUACAAUCAGCACCGGAGCUCCCC